GUGUAAUUUCGAUGAAAUAUCAUCCAUAUUUCAAACGCUAGUUUUGAUUUAAUCAAAAUAAAGAUAGAGAGGAAAAUUGUUCUCAUGAUUUGUUUCCCCCUUUUUAUCUCUACUAAAUCUAAAAAUCAAAAGGGCCACUCGCUUCUCUCACCCGAUGCAUCAAGGAGUCCUUUUCUGAAGUUGCCCUCCAGACGAGAGAAUCCCUAGAAAGGCCCUAUUUUCCUCUGCCACUCUCAAUCCUCGCAGGUAAGGGGUCUCAUAGAGGACUAAAAUGGAUGAAAGUAUGAAGCAACUCCAACAAGGCUUAAUUGAGAUUGAAAUUGAAGCUGAGAAUGUCCUUUUAGCUCGACAUCAGCUAGUUGAGAAUGAUAGAGUGAGGAAUGGGAAUAGGGAAGCCCUUACAGCACUUAGGAAGAGGGCACGGACAACAAAAACCAGUGUUCCUUCUCCUUUUGAGUCGAUCAUGAAGGAGAUUGAGCAGCUUGAAUCAAGGCCUUUGGUGAAGGAGGUGUGUGCAACCUGUGGCAACCAUGACUCAAGGGAGAACACAUGGACGAUGUUCCCUGGAACUGAUGUUUUUGCUAGGAUUCCAUUUCAUGCUGCUCAUUCCAUUUUGGAGAAAGAUCAAGAACGACUUGAUUAUGAUGCAAAGAAACUACAAAGCUACUUGAAGGAAAAAUCCUUUUUAAUUUCGGAGAAAGGUGUUCUUGCUGACAAGAUCAGCCCUGGUAUUAUCAGAUCUCUGGUGACCUUAACUGACAAGCCGAAAUAAUCGACUCCAAGAAGAAUACCCGCACAUUUCCACCUUUUGUCUUUGAAAUUUACAGAAGAAUGUAUCUAAUGUGUGUUAGUGUAAUAAAUUAUGCAGCCCAAUGAUAGUUGUGGUGUUGUCCAUGUUAUGGUUAGUAUUUUUUUACCUGACCAUCAAAUACAACCUCAUAAUUGUUAUGCACAUGCACACAAUAAAAAGCACAUGCCUGGAUAUGUGUAUUCCACAAAGUACAUGUAUAGAACCAUGUUCCCGUGCAGUUGCUUUCUUCCACACCCCAUAUAAUUGUCUCCCGUAUAUGCAUGCAAAGUCCAAAUCUGGGCCUGUGACCACAAUAAUAGCUUUAAUUUGUGUUUUUCCUUUCAGUGUUUUGUGUUUUCUUCCUCACUACUCAAACAACGUGUUAGAAAAAGUUCGGUGUGAGGUUUCCGGGACCAUUUAGUUCUAUACUUGCACUAUAGAGUUCAGAAGUUUCGUGGGGACUCUACAAACGGUUGAAGAUAACAUGUCAUGCUUUUGUCUUCUUCUUUCUGUCAUUCUCUGUGGUCCCUUUUCACCAAAGGCUUUGCUUUUCUCAUCAUUCCUUUUUCCUCUUCCUUCCCUUUCCUCUCAAGAAAAUGGUGUCUUUCAGCAAGCAAGAAGUGAAAUAGAAGAGAGUCUCGGGUGUCUUGGGUGUCUCAGAUACCUGGAACAUGUCUCAAUGAAUUUUGUAUGAUAGAGAUAUAUUCCCUAAAGGUAGAGGGAUUUGCUGAACUUUCUCAGUUGAGGUGAGUGAUAGAAGAAAAGCAACUUCAGAGAGAUGGAAAGAGCUUGCCCUUCACUGCAAAGGAGAAAAUAGAUAGAGCUGUAGCAGGAAAAUUGGAGGCAUGCCAAGUGAAAGUUUCCAUGUAAUUAUAGGAGAUUUUGAUGGAACUGUAAUACUGAUUUAAAUAAUAAUCAUUUUAAGGUCCAUCCAGUGUUUGGAUGUCUCUUGUUUAUUGGCUGAGUGUUAGAAAUCUUCCCUGUUUGAGUAAAUUAAUAAAGCGAGGUUCAAGUCUA
Molecule: RNA transcript, 1807 nt
Organism: Vitis vinifera (wine grape)
Lineage: Eukaryota; Viridiplantae; Streptophyta; Magnoliopsida; Vitales; Vitaceae
Exons: 6
Source: RefSeq, a predicted model, not a curated record